AACGCACGAGACCUGCGGACCUGCGGAAGGAUCAUUACAGGACUCGCAAGACUCCUACAACCCUGUGAACUUAACUAUAAGCACGUUGCUUCGGCGGGUGUCUCGGCGAGGGUCCUCCCUCCCCGGGGCGCUAAGCCCGCCGGCAGCCUACUAUACUCUGUCUCUUUGCGUUGGCAUCUCGAGUACAAACAAACAAGUUAAAACUUUCAACAAUGGAUCUCUAGAUCGGAAGAGCACACG
RNAcentral lists this unclassified non-coding RNA (240 nucleotides) under soil metagenome. Its description in RNAcentral is "partial contains 5.8S ribosomal RNA, internal transcribed spacer 2, and large subunit ribosomal RNA". The record is from RNAcentral.